RNAcentral lists this transfer RNA (75 nucleotides) under Yarrowia lipolytica CLIB122. RNAcentral describes it as "tRNA YALI0_D23089r". It matches the Rfam family "tRNA". From Rfam's summary of the family: Transfer RNA (tRNA) molecules are approximately 80 nucleotides in length. Lineage: Eukaryota; Fungi; Ascomycota; Dipodascomycetes; Dipodascales. The record is from RNAcentral.
GGUCUAGUGGUGUAAUGGUUAUCACGUCUCGCUCACAUACCGAGGAGGCUCGGAGUUCGAUCCUCCGCUGGAUCA